RNAcentral lists this ribosomal RNA (460 nucleotides) under uncultured bacterium. RNAcentral describes it as "partial 16S ribosomal RNA". It matches the Rfam family "Bacterial small subunit ribosomal RNA", at positions 28 to 507 of the family's 1533-position model. The record is from RNAcentral.
GACGAACGCUGGCGGCGUGCUUAACACAUGCAAGUCGAGCGGUAAGGCCUCUUCGGGGGUACACGAGCGGCGAACGGGUGAGUAACACGUGGGUGACCUGCCCUCAGCUCUGGGAUAAGCCUGGGAAACUGGGUCUAAUACCGGAUAUGACCUUUCCUCGCAUGGGGUUUGGUGGAAAGUUUUUUCGGCUGGGGAUGGGCCCGCGGCCUAUCAGCUUGUUGGUGGGGUGAUGGCCUACCAAGGCGACGACGGGUAGCCGGCCUGGGAGGGCGACCGGCCACACUGGGACUGAGGCACGGCCCAGACUCCUACGGGAGGCAGCAGGGGGGAAUAUUGCGCAAUGGGCGGAAGCCUGACGCAGCGACGCCGCGGGGGAGAUGACGGCCUUCGGGUUGUAAACCUCUUUCGACCCCGACGAAUUUGGACGGUAGGGGUAGAAGAAGCACCGGCCAACUACGUG